RNAcentral lists this small RNA (109 nucleotides) under Chrysemys picta bellii (western painted turtle). RNAcentral's name for it is "TUC338 (ENSCPBG00000025387.1)". Lineage: Eukaryota; Metazoa; Chordata; Testudines; Emydidae. The record is from RNAcentral.
UAUCCACAGAACUGGGACAGCAUGGUGAGCAGCAGUGUGAGCCUUCCACACACUGACUGGUCAGUGUGGUGUGUUGUGUUGUGUUCUGGAUGGGACCCCAUUAGGGAUG